AUGGCCAUCUUCGACGAGUUCUACGUAGGGUCCAUUACCCUCGGUCGUCUCAACUAUGGGAUCAUUUCGCUCAUCCCUAAAGUGCCUGGGGUGUCUGACAACCGCCGGUUCCAUCCGAUCAUAGUAAUUAAUGUGAUCUUCCGGAUCCUGGCGAAAGGGUACGCCAAUAGGGUGACCUUGCUGGCGGAUCGCAUUACCCACCCCAACCAGUCCACCUUCAUUCAAGGGCAUUUUAUCCUAGAUGGGGUGCUAGUCCUUCACGAAGUCCUCCAUAAGGUCUGCUCUAAGCACCUCAAGGCGGUCUUCCUGAAGAUCGAUUUCCAUAAGGCUUACGACAUAGUCAGCUGGCCCUUCCUUCGGGAAGUCUUCCUUCGGAAAGGCUUCGACGAUCGUUGGAUCACCUGCGUGAUGCAUAUGGCAUCCAGCGGUCGCGCCGCCGUGAACAUCAAUGGGGAGGUUGGCCCUUACUUCCCCACCCUUUGUGGGGUCAGACAAGGCGACCCCUUCUCCCCAUUUUUUUUCAACAUGGUGGUGGACAUACUUGCCGCUAUCCUGGACAAGGCAAAGGCGGCAGGCCAUAUUUGUGGGAUCGCCCCCCACCUGGCCGGUGACUCUGAGAUCUCCCUCCUCCAGUAUGCCGACGACACCCUCAUUACGGUGGAAGGCUCGGAGACGUUCAUCUCUCAUAUGAAGUUCCUCCUCCUCUGCUUCCAACAAAUGUCUGGCCUCAAGAUCAACUUCGACAAGAGCGAUGUGAUGGUGAUGGGCCACUCUCCGGAUGAAUGCCUGAGCACUGCUAACCGUCUUAACUGCCUCUUGGCUCCUUCCCCACGACCUACUUAG
Molecule: ribosomal RNA, 843 nt
Filed under: Triticum aestivum (bread wheat)
Lineage: Eukaryota; Viridiplantae; Streptophyta; Magnoliopsida; Poales; Poaceae
Description: partial small subunit ribosomal RNA
Source: RNAcentral